RNAcentral lists this ribosomal RNA (254 nucleotides) under uncultured bacterium. Its description in RNAcentral is "partial 16S ribosomal RNA". It matches the Rfam family "Bacterial small subunit ribosomal RNA", at positions 524 to 776 of the family's 1533-position model. The record is from RNAcentral.
UACGUAGGGUCCAAGCGUUGUCCGGAUUUAUUGGGCGUAAAGAGCUCGUAGGCGGUUCCGUAAGUCGGAUGUGAAAACUCAGGGCUCAACCCGGAGACGCCAUCCGAUACUGCGGUGACUGGAGUCUGGUAGGGGAUCACGGAAUACCUGGUGUAGCGGCGAAAUGCGCAGAUAUCAGGUGGAACACCGAUGGCGAAGGCAGUGAUCUGGGCCAGUACUGACGCUGAGGAGCGAAAGCGUGGGGAGCAAACAGG